Molecule: ribosomal RNA, 326 nt
Filed under: Rhogostoma sp.
Lineage: Eukaryota; Cercozoa; Thecofilosea; Cryomonadida; Rhogostomidae
Description: SSU rRNA
Rfam family: Eukaryotic small subunit ribosomal RNA (bases 57-326)
Source: RNAcentral
GAUAUCUGGUCAGAUACACUCAGCCCAUCCCAGUUUUGGGAUUGUGUGCAGAGUGGCAUCGACCAUCCUUCUAGUACAAAAAGGCACAGAUUCGCAAGAGUUUGCAUCUUUUCGACUAGAUCUUUUACUUUGAAAAAAUUAGAGUGUUUAAAGCAGGCUUUUGCUAUGAAUACAUUAGCAUGGAAUAAUAAUCUAGGACUUCGGUUCUAUUUUGUUGGUUUCUAUAACUGAAGUAAUGAUUGAUAGGGAUAGUUGGGGGUGCUAGUAUUGGCCGGCCAGAGGUGAAAUUCUUGGAUUCGGUCAAGACUAACUUAUGCGAAAGCAUU